CCAACCUCUCCUCCCCUCACUCUCCACUCCCUGUCCACUCCAUCACACACGAUCCCUAGAUCUCAGCGGAGGCACCUACUCCACUCCCUCCGCUCUCGCCCCCGUAGCCGGCGACCUUGUCUCCCACCGCCGCCCCUCUCAUCCCCCCUCCACUCAUCAACGACGGCUAGAUGCGCACACAACCGGUGACCAACAUCAUGCAAGGUCGCCACUGCCGUCGUCGAAGGAUAGUCUUCCCACAUCGCUAGCCGCAGCCUCCGCCUCGCCCCGAUUCUCGUCCUCCUCGACCGCCACUCGCUCUCCUUGGCAGCACCUCACCGCCUCCCUGCCCAUGCCGUGUCCGCCGACAGCCCUACUCAUGCCGACCUCGCUAAUCAUGCGGUAGCGCUUGGCUGUGCUCACCUUGUCCUCGUCGGCGUCGCGGCCGCAGGCCACGUGAACUACAACUCCGCUGCCAGUGGCGACGAGUCCUUCCUGUGCCUCUACUGCCUCGUGGCUGAGUCCUCCUCUCCCCAAAUUGACAUCCACCCCUUUGUCGAGCCCGCCGUGCCAGCGACAUGAACAAGAUGGUGUACACCGACUCUGGAUGAGGUCAACGCUGAUGGCGACUCGAACGGUUCGUGGAGCUGUACCAGGAUCCUAUAGAGCAGAUGGGCAUCAUCGAGAUGCAGUACACUCGUGCAGUACACACUCUCUUAGGCAGAAGGAUUGGACAAGAAAUACCAAGGCACACAUGUUUGUCUCUUUGAAGAGAGACAACAAAUCCCUAUGCCCAUGAAACGACUUAGAUGAUAAGCAUCACCGGAGGUUCAAAAUAAGAAGAGUACUUAAGAGGAAUCUUUCUAUAGGUUAAGUAUAUGUUCUUAUGCGUACCUUUGCAUCUUGUCCUAUAAUAUGUUAUUGUUCUGUGUUACCUCAAAGGUUUCAUGGUUCUUAUUCAAAUAAAAUAAGAACAGAUCACUUUGUAUCAUGCUUGCUUUGAUAACACUUUUCAUUUACUUGCGCUUCUAGAA
Triticum urartu is the source of this 1013-nucleotide long non-coding RNA. RefSeq lists it as uncharacterized. The record is from RefSeq and is a predicted model, not a curated record. Lineage: Eukaryota; Viridiplantae; Streptophyta; Magnoliopsida; Poales; Poaceae.